This is a long non-coding RNA of Hyla sarda, 1937 nucleotides long. RefSeq lists it as uncharacterized. Lineage: Eukaryota; Metazoa; Chordata; Amphibia; Anura; Hylidae. The transcript is spliced from 3 exons. The record is from RefSeq and is a predicted model, not a curated record.
UUGUAAAUGUACAGGGUACAUUCACAUGGGCAGGGGCUUACAGUGAGUAUCAGGCUGCAAGUUUGCGAUGCAGCAAAUUUUGCGCGGCAGCUCAAACUCGUAGCGGGAAACUCGUUGUAAUCCCCCGCCUGUGUGACUGUACCCUAAAAACACUACACUAACACAAAAUAAAAUAAAAAGUAAAAAACACUACAUAUACACAUACCCCUACACAGCCCCCCUCCCCAAUAAAAAUGAAAAAUGUCUGCUACGCCACUGUUUUCAAAAUGGAGCCUCCAGCAGUUGCAAAACAACAACUCCCAGUAUUGCCGGACAGCCGUUGACUGUCUAAGCAUGCUGGGGGUUUUGCAACAGCUGGAGGCACCCUGUUUGGGAAUCACUGGCGUAGAAUACCCCUAUGUCCACCCCUAUGCAAAUCCCUAAUUCAGGCCUCAAAUGCACAUGGCGCUCUCAUUUCGGAGCCCUGUCGUAUUUCAAGGCAACAGUUUAGGGUCACAUAUGGGGUAUUGCCGUACUCGGGAGAAAUUGCCUUACAAAUUUUGGGGGGGCUUUUUCUCCUUUCACCCCUUAUGAAAAGGUGAAGUUGGGGUCUACACUAGUAUGUUAGUGUAAAAAAAUAAAUUGUUUGACAGGAAGUGACGGCAGCAUGAGCUAGGGCCGCACACUUUGGGGCUCUGGCCCCGCCCCCUGAGCCCUCGAGACGGAGGUGGACGCCGACCUCACGAUGCCGGGAUACUCACGGCUUUCUGCCGACAGUGGGGCCCUCCUGCCCGGACGCCUUGUGACGAGCUGGGGGCGCUGGAUCCUGCCGUGGGAGGAGGGAGGAUUGAGACGGCGAUGGCGCGACCCGUCGUCGGACAGGCCGAGAGGCGCUGUGGAAGGGGAUGCCGGAGAGGAGGUGAGAGAGGGGGGGGGUGUGGUCUCUGCGGCCAGCUAUUGAGAGGAGCUUCGGGCUUGUUCCGGAGGCCCAUAUAUGGCGGCACCUGCCUCACAGCGGGUCACAGCGACGUGGAGGUGUUGAGGGGCAUGUGUGGAGCUCCGCUACUUCUUGCUAGGAUCUGGUUAGGCUGGACCAGACCCUCUCUUGUGGAUGGAAAGUGGAACUGAGUAAAACGAUUAGAUGCUACAUGUGAUAAAUAUCUAACAGUGCAGAAGCCGGUGAGUUAUCGCCACCCUUUGGGGGGACAGAUUUUCUUAAUCAGCAGUCUCCCUGCAUGGAUGUGUCUCACAUGAGGAUAAAUUGCCAUGAAAUCUACUCACGGAUUCCCCCUAACUAGGUGAAACCAUUGAUUAAACCCCCGGCAAUAUUCUGAACAGCAGCAGGCCCCCGCACCGGCCCCAUGUGGAAUGGACAAUAUUGGAUGCCUGACUCCCUGCCUGGUUACUCCUUCUAGCAAUUUGCUGCAGUGGCCAAUCACCUUUGCAGGAGUUCCGUUAUGACACGCCCCUUCUUCUGGAAGGCCCCACAUUAAGCACAUGCACAAAGAGAAAACAUUACGUCGGCAGCACUGCAGUGCAACCAAACCCCACACUAACAGCGAAGCAUGAAGGAGGAGAAGACACGCCAAUCACAUGACACCACCAAACCAGAUAAUUGGCCAGUAAACAGCCAAUGAGGAACAGGCAAACAUAGAAGGGCACAACCCAAGAAGGAGGAACUAAUGACAAUGCAAUGAAUAUUCAAACAAGGCGGGCGGCAAGGAGGAGACACAGAGGAGGGCAAGUUUGAGGUCAUGAACGCAAGAUGGGCGCCGAACGGAGGAAAAAAAGUGGUCGUGAUCAAGAAAAAGACAGCGAAACUACAAUACUUCCGCUGAGGAUAAAAGGAGUUCCAGACGUCAUAAAGAUCAGGUUACACGUUCGCUUGAACCUACUAUCAAGAGUUCACCGUAUCACAAACUUUCCAGACGGCAAACAGCGCAGUUUCCUUAAAAGAG